CCUACGGGGGGCUGCAGUGGGGAAUAUUGGACAAUGGGGGCAACCCUGAUCCAGCCAUGCCGCGUGUGUGAAGAAGGCCCUCGGGUUGUAAAGCACUUUCAGUGAGGAAGAACGCCUGGUGGUUAAUACCCAUCAGGAAAGACAUCACUCACAGAAGAAGCACCGGCUAACUCCGUGCCAGCAGCCGCGGUAAUACGGAGGGUGCGAGCGUUAAUCGGAAUUACUGGGCGUAAAGCGCGCGUAGGUGGCUUGAUAAGCCGGUUGUGAAAGCCCCGGGCUCAACCUGGGAACGGCAUCCGGAACUGUUAAGCUAGAGUGCAGGAGAGGAAGGUAGAAUUCCCGGUGUAGCGGUGAAAUGCGUAGAGAUCGGGAGGAAUACCAGUGGCGAAGGCGGCCUUCUGGACUGACACUGACACUGAGGUGCGAAAGCGUGGGUAGCAAACAGGAUUAGAUACCCGAGUAGUC
RNAcentral lists this ribosomal RNA (465 nucleotides) under Vreelandella stevensii. Its description in RNAcentral is "partial 16S ribosomal RNA". It matches the Rfam family "Bacterial small subunit ribosomal RNA", at positions 338 to 795 of the family's 1533-position model. Lineage: Bacteria; Pseudomonadati; Pseudomonadota; Gammaproteobacteria; Oceanospirillales; Halomonadaceae. The record is from RNAcentral.